Molecule: microRNA precursor, 61 nt
Filed under: Strongyloides ratti
Lineage: Eukaryota; Metazoa; Nematoda; Chromadorea; Rhabditida; Strongyloididae
Description: microRNA str-mir-37a precursor
Gene: str-mir-37a
Source: miRBase by way of RNAcentral
AGUGAAUGUUACUUCGGUAAUGGAAUUUUUGAAAUCACAUCACCGGGUAUACAUUCAUCAA